GUGGUAUCCUGUCUGAAUAUGGGGGGACCAUCCUCCAAGGCUAAAUACUCCUGACUGACCGAUAGUGAACCAGUACCGUGAGGGAAAGGCGAAAAGAACCCCGGCGAGGGGAGUGAAAAAGAACCUGAAACCGUGUACGUACAAGCAGUGGGAGCACGCUUCGGCGUGUGACUGCGUACCUUUUGUAUAAUGGGUCAGCGACUUAUAUUCUGUAGCAAGGUUAACCGAAUAGGGGAGCCGAAGGGAAACCGAGUCUUAACUGGGCGUUAAGUUGCAGGGUAUAGACCCGAAACCCGGUGAUCUAGCCAUGGGCAGGUUGAAGGUUGGGUAACACUAACUGGAGGACCGAACCGACUAAUGUUGAAAAAUUAGCGGAUGACUUGUGGCUGGGGGUGAAAGGCCAAUCAAACCGGGAGAUAGCUGGUUCUCCCCGAAAGCUAUUUAGGUAGCGCCUCGUGAAUUCAUCUCCGGGGGUAGAGCACUGUUUCGGCAAGGGGGUCAUCCCGACUUACCAACCCGAUGCAAACUGCGAAUACCGGAGAAUGUUAUCACGGGAGACACACGGCGGGUGCUAACGUCCGUCGUGAAGAGGGAAACAACCCAGACCGCCAGCUAAGGUCCCAAAGUCAUGGUUAAGUGGGAAACGAUGUGGGAAGGCCCAGACAGCCAGGAUGUUGGCUUAGAAGCAGCCAUCAUUUAAAGAAAGCGUAAUAGCUCACUGGUCGAGUCGGCCUGCGCGGAAGAUGUAACGGGGCUAAACCAUGCACCGAAGCUGCGGCAGCGACACUAUGUGUUGUUGGGUAGGGGAGCGU
Molecule: ribosomal RNA, 812 nt
Filed under: Escherichia coli
Lineage: Bacteria; Pseudomonadati; Pseudomonadota; Gammaproteobacteria; Enterobacterales; Enterobacteriaceae
Description: bacterial LSU rRNA
Rfam family: Bacterial large subunit ribosomal RNA
Source: RNAcentral